This is a long non-coding RNA of Ostrea edulis (European flat oyster), 3394 nucleotides long. RefSeq lists it as uncharacterized. Lineage: Eukaryota; Metazoa; Mollusca; Bivalvia; Ostreida; Ostreidae. The record is from RefSeq and is a predicted model, not a curated record. The transcript is spliced from 3 exons.
UUGCAUGCUUGAUCGGGGAGGGGGGCUACAGUUAGAUAAUAUUCUGGUCAGCACAUUCGAUAAACUACAGUUGUACAUGGAACUCAUUAAAUCACUUCUUUUUCUUUCAGUGGUCUUCAACUUUUAAUCUCCAAGAAGGAAAUGUAAUUAAAAGAUGAAUAAAGUAUCCCUAAGAAUACCAGAAGAAAGGCUGUGUUGAGAAAAACAGCCCUUCCUCAGUACCUCAGAACUAGAUGAUAGCCCUUGUUACUUUAUGCUGAAUAUGACACAGUAUAGAAGAUCUGAUCAUAAAGAAGUUACACCAUUGAUACACUUGCCAACUGCCAAAACUACUUUCUGAUAGUAUGACGAGAUUAGAAGAUAUCAUGGUGUAGUCAUGACACAAACUGCAAAUCAAAGAUUGUCUUCCCCAGAGGAUGAACAGAGUGCUUCACAUGGAUAACAUUUCCUUUUCGAGUUUUGAAAUUAUCAAACAUAAUUUUGCAUCAAAGAGAAAAAGUGGCUUUGACAUAACCUAGAAAAUGCAAUUCAUUAAAAAGAGCAUGGCACCAGGAUAGCUAGAUGCCCAUAUUCCCAGCAAAAUGAGCCAGUCCUAAAGAGAGUCCACUAGAGAUGAAAUAAAACUCAUUAAAUGUAUUGAGAAAAGAUUUUUCAGAAUGUUAUGCAUCAUGAUCAACAUAAAAGAACUUCACAGGUAGACCAAAGCUGACAUGGGAUGAGAUCCUAAAACGAGACCUAGAGUUUAGAGGAUUGGAUAGGAUCAAUCCACUGGGUCGCCAAGUGUGGAAGUACAAACUCCAACCUCGACAGGACAGCCAGGCCUCACCCUUGCAAAAAUAUUAAUUUGGCCUGGAUAGUCAAAAUGAGUGAUGAUGAUGAUAUCAAGGUCUGACACUGUAAGCUCAGUAAGGGUAGAUGCUGGCAAUGGAGCUGUUAAGCAAUACAACAAACAGGUUUAACAUUGAACAUGUUUAUAUACUUUUUUAGCUCACCUGAGCCAAAGGCUCAAAUGAACUUUUCUGAUCAGCUUUACCUGUCGUCUGUCUCUCUGUAAACUUUUCACAUUUUCAUUUUCUUCUCCAGAGUGAACCACUGGGCCAGUUUCAAUCAAACUUGGUAUGCAUCAUCAAUAGAUAAAGGGUAUGCAAAAAUAGGGUGGGGUCAUUUAAAAAACCUUUUCAAGAACCACUGGACCAGGAAAGUUGAAUUCACAUAAAAGGUUCCUGUUUUGUGCAAAUCAUGGUAUCCGGGGGUAGGGUGAGGUCACAAUCGGGGAUCAAAGUUUUACAUUCAUAUAUAGUACAGAUUCAAGUUUGUUAAAGGUCAUGGCUCACAGGGGUACAGUGGGGUCACAAUAGGGGAUCUAAGUUUUAUAUGUGAAAUAUAUACAAGGAAAAUCUUUUAAAAUCUUUUCCUAAAAAACUAGAUGCAGAACUAAACCCAAAAUCGUAGUUCUUUGAGAAGAUAUUGGGGCAAGUCAGAGCGCUAGAGAUUCAAAUGAACCCCUUAUUAAAAAUCUUCAAUUUACGGCACAGAAAAAAAGUACAUGGUUAAGUCCCUUUAUCACUGCAUUCCUGCAUCGCUGUCUCAUGAAUUUAAUAUCAAAUAAUUCCUAACAUAUUUUCCCACUAUACUUGUUUCCAAGCAUACUUUCAAAUAUUCCUUAAACCUACAUAUAACCUAAAAACUCACAGCUUCAAGUGAUUUUCUUUGUUGAUGUAGCCAUGUUAGGUAUACGUAGCCAGUCAAUUUGAACCCCAGUUCAUUUCCAUACUCGUACUCAUUUUGAAACAUAAUGUCUGUGUGAACUAAUAUCCCCACAAAUAUUUUUAGUGAAAUAUUUUGGAUGAAAUCAUCCCAGUUGGGUUAAAUACUUAUUAUUCAAAAACUGUAGGUUUGAAUAUUGAACUAAUCUUACAGCUUUCUUAAGUUUGGUCCCCAUCCACUCUAGUCUGUUUUUGCGCUUAACUAUUGAAAUGGAGAGUAAGGGAUCAGACUAGGCUUUAAUAUCAUUAUCAAUUUUCAAAAGCUUUAGAAAAAUUAUACAAUUUUAGGUCACUUGAGUAAACUCAGAUAACAUAUUGCUAUUGGUCUGCGUCCGUUGUAGUCCGUCGAUGUUAACAAUUGAAUAUUUUUAACUAAAUUCUAUAACUGAAAGGUGAAGAUAACGAACAGCGAUCAAUCUACAAUUCGAAUAACAGAAUUCUUUUCAAAUUUAGUAUGAAGCACACAAAUUUACAUUAAACCUUCCUGACAUAGUGCAUAUUCAAGUUUGUUAAAAUCAUUUCCCGGGAGGUAUGGUGUGGUAACAAUAUUGGAUCAAAGUUUUAUAUGCUGAUAUAUUUAAAGGAAAAAUCUUUAAAGAUAUCUCUUGAACUAUUUAAGCUAAAGCUUUCAUAUCUUGUAUAUACAAUUUUUAUGGAAAACAAAUCUGACCUAUUCAGUGUGUCCUGAACUACAUUGUGUUUAAGGUAAAACUUAUACGGUACCAAUUUUGAUGCACCAGAUGCGCAUUUCGACAAAUAAUGUCUCUUCAGUGGUUGGCGUGGGUUCGAAUCCUGCUUGCACCGGUAAGUGAGAAAGUUUCCCAGUUUACUCUCGGAAGGUCAAUGGUCUCUUCCCAGGUACAUUGUAUCUGGGUUCUCUCUUCCAUCAAUAAAAACUGGGCACCACCAGAUAACUGAAAAAUUGUUGAGUGUGGCGGAAAACAGCUAAAACAAUCAAUCAUAUUAUGUUCUUUGACCUUGUGACCCUGAACUCUGAGUUUGACCUACUUUUAAGAAAGUAUAACUUAUUAAGUAUAUCCAGGACUAUUUUAGAUAGGGCUUUCAUGUAUUGUAUAUAGAUUACUUAUGGCAAGGUCUUUCAUAUCAUUCCAAGACCUAUGACUUCAUAACUUGGUCUUAUCCAGAACAGCAAUAUCAUGCUUGUCAUAUCUUUGUGUUAUAUGAUUUCAUUUUAGUAAUGUUGUGUUCUUUAGAGGUAGGUUUGGGUCACAUUAUUUAUGAGAAUAAAGAUUGAUAAAAUAGCAUUUAAAAAUCAAAACAGCAGGGCCAAGGUGACUCAGGUGAGCGAUGUGGCCCCUGGGCCUCUUGUUGAUUUUGAUAUUUGUACAGAUAUCGUUUGUAUGAGAAAUGGAACUCUUUUUUUUUUCUUUUACAAAUACAUGUAUUAUCAUAUGGAUCCAUCUGUGUUGAUUAUUUAAUCAAAGGACUACAUUCAAUGUAUUAAAUGCAAAUUUAUUGAUAUGUCUGUGGUUGAAUUACUCAUGUAUGUAUACAUUUUUUUGGCACAUGCAAUUACAUAUAUAAUGUAUAUAUAUAUAUAUAUAUAUAUACUAAUUGUACAUAUAACAUCUCCUGUAAUAUAAUAAAAUAUAUGACUGAGAAUAAAA